Cucumis sativus (cucumber) is the source of this 3224-nucleotide RNA transcript. It is a transcript of the gene named calumenin-B, with no coding region annotated. NCBI's taxonomy places the organism in Eukaryota, Viridiplantae, Streptophyta, Magnoliopsida, Cucurbitales, Cucurbitaceae. The record is from RefSeq and is a predicted model, not a curated record. The transcript is spliced from 8 exons.
AUGUUCUUGGCUUGAUUUGCUCCCCUUCUAAGAACAUAAUUAAUCUCUAACUAUCAAACUGAUAAUAUAAUAAAAAUCAUAAUCACAUUUGAUUCAUCCUAUAACCUCCAUUGAUCAAACUUGAAGCUUUUCAUUUUCCCAAAAAUGGGGAAAUUUUCAGUUCUCAUUUACAUUUCAAUCUUUUCCCUUCUUCUAAUCCUAAUAUCUCAAACUCCAACAACCCGCCCCCGUCACCGCCGCCUCCGCCUCCGCUCCAACUUCACCUUCAAUCCCCCCCUCCUCCGCCACCAACACGACCACUACAUCUCCUUCGACCCUCUCAUUUCUGACAUUGAGCUCCGCCGUGAGGACGACGAAUGGCAUAAGCAGUCCCUCAAAAAUCUCGCCGCCCAUGAUUCUCAUCCUGAGUGGGAAGAGUUCAUCAACGAUGAGGACAGGUUUAAUGUCACCGAAAGAUUGUUUUGGAUUUUUCCCAAAAUUGAUGUGGAUCCUUCUGAUGGGUUUGUGUCGGCGGAGGAACUGACUCGCUGGAACUUGCAGCAAGCCAUGAAUGAAGCUUUGUAUCGGACUGAAAGGGAAUUCCAAUCUCAUGAUGAUAAUCGUGAUGGGUUUGUUUCCUUUGCUGAGUAUGAACCCCCCAGUUGGGUUCUUUCUGCCGGUAAUGGUUCUUUUGGCUAUGAUAUUGGCUGGUGGAAUGAGGAGCACUUCAAUGCAUCAGAUGCAGAUGGGGAUGGAGUUUUGGAUCUAAAUGAAUUUAAUGACUUCUUGCAUCCUGCUGACAGCAAGAGCACGAAGCUGCUUCUAUGGUUAUGUGCAGAUGUAGUAAGGGAAAGAGAUAACGACAAAGAUGGAAAGCUCAAUUUCAGUGAGUUUUUCCCUAAAGUUUUAGACUUAGUAAGAAGAGUGGAUGAAGACUACAAUUCAUCAAAUUGGGAGGACGAAGAACCGGAGGCACUGGCAAAAAAGAUGUUCUUGGAGCUCGACAAAGACUCUGAUGGGUACCUUUCAACAACUGAAAUGUUGCCUAUAAUUGGAAAAAUCCAUCCAUCGGAGGCUUAUUAUGCAAAACAACAAGCAGAAUACAUCAUCUCUCAGGCAGAUAGUGAUGAUGAUGGACUCCUAACCUUGAACGAUAUGAUCGAGAACCCAUCUGUGUUCUAUAGCUCUGUUUUUACUGAAGACGAGAUGGAUUAUUAUCCAUACCACGAUGAAUUUCGUUAGAUGGAUACAGUUAUUUAAAGAAAAAAAAGAUUAUGGGAGAAAAGAAAACGACGUUGAGAAAGCUUGAGAAUUAUCAAGAGAUUGAUCUUCACAAAAUAUUAGUUAGAGGCAACGAGUUCAACUAAUCAGAAAAAUUAUCCUCUCAAUAAUAGGAUUGAGACUCGUCUACACCAUCUUAUGCCACUAACUUGACCAAAGUAAGCAUCUCUUCCUUCUUAGUCAAUAUCAUUUACACAGUUCAACACUACAAACGACAACUACACCUUUAGAGUCACACCCUGAAAUUCGAAAUACCUAAAGUUACCAAAGAGAAUAUUCUCAUUCACGUUCUCUAUGGAUGGAGACCUUCAAAAUUUUCCUUGCGGUUAAUUUCUAUGAUAGAAAGAUGAAAAGUAGGAGUAUGAAAAAGUGCCUUUCUUUCAAGAUGAGGGCACAUCAUUUGAGAAUUUGAAUGUGCAUCUCAUGAAUUUGGAAGCUUUUGAAAUCAUCACACAUACACACAAAGUCAAAAGGAUCAAAAAAGAAACUCAUAUAAAGUUAAUAAAUACAACACAGCACCCAAAACCCUUCUCAGACAUUGUCUGUCCUUUUGGACUAAUACAUUUUACAAAAUGACAAAACCUAAAAUUCUCCUGUCUAUUGUUUCCAUUCCUCUUUGUUUCUCACACCCUCUUUAUUUGCUUCUCUAAUUAUAGGCAUUAAAACAAAUUUAGAAAAAUAGGAUUAUAGAAGAUCUAUCUAUAGAGCGGUUGAAUUAUACAUAUGUGAUACAAGGAACAAUGGUUGGCCAUGAUGCCAAACACAGAUUUUGAUACGAGUAGAAAGCUGAUAGUGAAGAUAAAUGUCACGUACAAGAGUUGGAAAAAGUCUAACCUAAGUUGUAUGACCCCAUCCAUGGAAAGUGACCCAAAGAAGGCCCACUCCAUGUGAGUUGGCUAAGGUAGAUGAAGUAACUCAUGUAAGUCGAUCAGAUGAGGUGAACCACUAGGGUCAGGGAUGGAUAAGGAUGUGAUCCACAUGUAAGUCCACCAAAGCAUAAAUCAAUAAGUGUGGAUCACCCUAACAGAUAUUGAACCUCAUUGAUUUCACGACCCUUUCUUAUCUUUUCACUUUGAGCAUCUUGAGAAUCCAUAUACUAGAUCUUUGGCUUAGAUCUUCAGUAUAAUAUGAUAUUGCCCAUUUUAGAUAUAAGUCUUUACGUAGCUUUGCUUUUGGACUUACGCGGAAGUGAAUCUCUAUCUCCUAACAAAUGUGAAGUUUGGUUUCCUCCAUACUUGGCAUUUAUAACCGUGGAACGUAACAAAAACAACUAGCUAAACUACCCAUCAAAAUUAAUCGAACAACGACACAAAUAAUUAACCAAAAGAUAGUCCAACAAAGAAAAUAACCAAUAUAAUUUUACCUCAAGAUGGACACAUUAUCAUAUUGAAGUAAUAUAUACGAACAAGUAAUCACCUAUCUCUUAACGUGUGAAUUACAAGGUAUGAUUUGUUAGUAAUAAUUAAUAAAUCGCAUAAAAAGUACAUAAAUUUACAACAUGAAAUUUUAAUCUUGACAAGAAUUUGAAUGUGAAUGGAAAAGAUAUAUAUCUUAAAACAUUUGUGGUAUGUGUGUGUGUAUAUAUAUAUAUAUAUAUAUAUAUAGUGUUUUGUUGUGAUGUAGUUAACAUAAAUAGUGAAGCAAAAGAGAGGAAUUUAAGCCCUCGUGAUACCUUCACAUGUCCAAAGUCCUAUAAUAGUGCUUCAAUAUAAAGUCAAUCAUUUAAAUGGGCCACUGUUGCUCUUGUGACACUACCUACCAAACAUAUGUACCAUAACUCAUCAGUCAUCACACAUACAAUCACACUAUUAUAAAACCCCUAUAUAUUCUCUUUUACGAAAAAUCAAUAUGUUAUUCACCUACCAUCAUAAAUCUCAAUUUAGAGAAUUGUAAUUCAUUUGAUCAUAAAGAGUAAACCACUCGAAAUACUACCUUCAAAAAAUAAAUUUUACAUACUUAACUCA